Molecule: non-coding RNA, 247 nt
Organism: Pelobates cultripes (western spadefoot toad)
Lineage: Eukaryota; Metazoa; Chordata; Amphibia; Anura; Pelobatidae
Source: the annotation of a GenBank genome assembly
GCAAUAAUGUCCCUGGGUGCGUCCGCAGGGGCGGCCGCGGCCUUCCGAAUCCUGAAUGCCGCUGUGAUGGGCCGCAGUUCACCAUUUUUCUUUGCUCCCAUCAUGGUCGCUAGUUUAUUAGUAAACUCCAGUAAGGCUUCUGGGCCUAUAGUUUCAGGUGCGCCGCGGAUGCGGACAUUUCUCUUGCGAUGUCUGGCCUCUAUCGCGGUCACUGUGCGGGUAAGUCUCAGGAUUUGUUGGGUCAGGG